AACGAACGCUGGCGGCAUGCCUAACACAUGCAAGUCGAACGAGACCUUCGGGUCUAGUGGCGCACGGGUGCGUAACGCGUGGGAACCUGCCCUUAGGUUCGGAAUAACUCCCCGAAAGGGGUGCUAAUACCGGAUAAUGUCUUCGGACCAAAGAUUUAUCGCCUUUGGAUGGGCCCGCGUUGGAUUAGCUAGUUGGUAGGGUAAAAGCCUACCAAGGCGACGAUCCAUAGCUGGUCUGAGAGGAUGAUCAGCCACACUGGGACUGAGACACGGCCCAGACUCCUACGGGAGGCAGCAGUGGGGAAUAUUGGACAAUGGGCGAAAGCCUGAUCCAGCAAUGCCGCGUGAGUGAUGAAGGCCUUAGGGUUGUAAAGCUCUUUUACCCGGGAUGAUACUGACAGUACCGGGAGAAUAAGCUCCGGCUAACUCCGUG
RNAcentral lists this ribosomal RNA (433 nucleotides) under uncultured bacterium. RNAcentral describes it as "partial 16S ribosomal RNA". It matches the Rfam family "Bacterial small subunit ribosomal RNA", at positions 29 to 507 of the family's 1533-position model. The record is from RNAcentral.